Molecule: ribosomal RNA, 547 nt
Filed under: uncultured fungus
Lineage: Eukaryota; Fungi
Description: SSU rRNA
Rfam family: Eukaryotic small subunit ribosomal RNA
Source: RNAcentral
GCCUUUGCUCGAAUACGUUAGCAUGGAAUAAUAAAAUAGGGCGUGCGUUUCUAUUUUGUUGGUUUCUAGAGACGCCGCAAUGAUUAACAGGAACAGUCGGGGGCAUCAGUAUUCCGUUGUCAGAGGUGAAAUUCUUGGAUUUACUGAAGACUAACUACUGCGAAAGCAUUUGCCAAGGAUGUUUUCAUUAAUCAGUGAACGAAAGUUAGGGGAUCGAAGACGAUCAGAUACCGUCGUAGUCUUAACCGUAAACUAUGCCGACUAGGGAUCGGGCGAUGUUCUUUUUCUGACUCGCUCGGCACCUUACGAAAAAUCAAAGUUUUUGGGUUCUGGGGGGAUUAUGGUCGCAAGGCUGAAACUUAAAAAAAUUGACGGAAGGUCACCACCAGGCGUGGAGCCUGCGGCUUAAUUUGACUCAACACGGGGAAACUCACCAGGUCCAGAUGAAAUAAGGAUUGACAGAUUGAGAGCUCUUUCUUGAUUUUUCGGGUGGUGGUGCAUGGCCGUUCUUAUUUCGUGGGGUGAUUUGUCUGCUUAAUUGCGAUAA